GGGUCAAUGAUGAGACCUCAUAUUGUCUCAAGGAGAUGUUGAAGACUUAAAAAUCAUAUUCAGUAGAAUUACGCUAAGGUCC
Oryctolagus cuniculus (rabbit) is the source of this 82-nucleotide small nucleolar RNA. Its record names the gene SNORD115. It matches the Rfam family "Small nucleolar RNA SNORD115". From Rfam's summary of the family: HBII-52 is a member of the C/D class of snoRNAs, which contain the C (UGAUGA) and D (CUGA) box motifs. HBII-52 is encoded in a tandemly repeated array with another C/D snoRNA, HBII-85, in the Prader-Willi syndrome (PWS) region of chromosome 15. HBII-52 is exclusively expressed in the brain but is absent in PWS patients. NCBI's taxonomy places the organism in Eukaryota, Metazoa, Chordata, Mammalia, Lagomorpha, Leporidae. The record is from Ensembl.